Molecule: ribosomal RNA, 329 nt
Filed under: uncultured eukaryote
Lineage: Eukaryota
Description: partial 18S ribosomal RNA
Rfam family: Eukaryotic small subunit ribosomal RNA
Source: RNAcentral
CCCUUAGAUGUCCUGGGCUGCACGCGCGCUACGCUGACGAACUCAACGAGCUUAUCACCUUGGCAGAGAUGUCUGGGUAAUCUUUUGAAAGUUCGUCGUGCUGGGGAUAGAUGAUUGUAAUUAUUCGUCUUGAACGAGGAAUUCCUAGUAAGUGUGAGUCAUCAGCUCGCGCUGAUUACGUCCCUGCCCUUUGUACACACCGCCCGUCGCUCCUACCGAUUGAAUGGUCCGGUGAGGUUCUCGGAUUUUUUCUGUUGUUUGGUUCGCUAAACGAUUGAAGAGAGAAGUUACCCAAACCUUACCAUUUAGAGGAAGGAGAAGUCGUAACA